Molecule: ribosomal RNA, 440 nt
Filed under: uncultured bacterium
Lineage: Bacteria
Description: partial 16S ribosomal RNA
Rfam family: Bacterial small subunit ribosomal RNA
Source: RNAcentral
CCUACGGGCGGCAGCAGUGGGGAUUAUUGCACAAUGGGGGAAACCCUGAUGCAGCGCCGCCGCGUGAGUGAAGAAGUAAUUCGUUAUGUAAAGCUCUAUCAGCAGGGAAGAAAAUGACGGUACCUGAGUAAGAAGACCCGGCUAACUACGUGCCAGCAGCCGCGGUAAUAAGUAGGGGGCAAGCGUUAUCCGGAUUUACUGGGUGUAAAGGGAGCGUAGACGGCAGUGCAAGUCUGGAGUGAAAGGCGGGGGCUCAACCCCCGGACUGCUCUGGAAACUGUACGGCUGGAGUGCAGGAGAGGUAAGUGGAAUUCCUAGUGUAGCGGUGAAAUGCGUAGAUAUUAGGAGGAACACCAGUGGCGAAGGCGGCUUACUGGACUGUAACUGACGUUGAGGCUCGAAAGCGUGGGGAGCAAACAGGAUUAGAUACCCCGGUAGUC